This 750-nucleotide ribosomal RNA is filed under the name uncultured bacterium. RNAcentral describes it as "bacterial SSU rRNA". It matches the Rfam family "Bacterial small subunit ribosomal RNA", at positions 61 to 810 of the family's 1533-position model. The record is from RNAcentral.
GUCGAACGGUAGAGGGGGCAACCCCUUGAGAGUGGCGAACGGGUGAGUAAUAUAUCGGAACGUGCCCAGUCGUGGGGGAUAACGUAGUGAAAAUUACGCUAAUACCGCAUACGAUCUAAGGAUGAAAGCGGGGGAUCGCAAGACCUCGCGCGAUUGGAGCGGCCGAUAUCAGAUUAGGUAGUUGGUAGGGUAAAGGCCUACCAAGCCAACGAUCUGUAGCUGGUCUGAGAGGACGACCAGCCACACUGGAACUGAGACACGGUCCAGACUCCUACGGGAGGCAGCAGUGGGGAAUUUUGGACAAUGGGCGAAAGCCUGAUCCAGCCAUUCCGCGUGCGGGAUGGAGGCCCUCGGGUUGUAAACUGCUUUUGUACAGAACGAAAAGGUCUCUAUUAAUACUAGGGGCUCAUGACGGUACUGUAAGAAUAAGCACCGGCUAACUACGUGCCAGCAGCCGCGGUAAUACGUAGGGUGCAAGCGUUAAUCGGAAUUACUGGGCGUAAAGCGUGCGCAGGCGGUUAUAUAAGUCAGAUGUGAAAUCCCCGGGCUCAACCUGGGAACUGCAUUUGAGACUGUAUAGCUAGAGUACGGUAGAGGGGGAUGGAAUUCCGCGUGUAGCAGUGAAAUGCGUAGAUAUGCGGAGGAACACCGAUGGCGAAGGCAAUCCCCUGGACCUGUACUGACGCUCAUGCACGAAAGCGUGGGAAGCAAACAGGAUUAGAUACCCUGGUAGUCCACGCCCUAAACGAU